This 253-nucleotide ribosomal RNA is filed under the name uncultured bacterium. RNAcentral describes it as "partial 16S ribosomal RNA". It matches the Rfam family "Bacterial small subunit ribosomal RNA", at positions 524 to 776 of the family's 1533-position model. The record is from RNAcentral.
UACGUAGGGUGCGAGCGUUGUCCGGAAUUACUGGGCGUAAAGAGCUCGUAGGCGGUUUGUCGCGUCUGCUGUGAAAUCCCGAGGCUCAACCUCGGGCCUGCAGUGGGUACGGGCAGACUGGAGUGCGGUAGGGGAGAAUGGAAUUCCUGGUGUAGCGGUGGAAUGCGCAGAUAUCAGGAGGAACACCGAUGGCGAAGGCAGUUCUCUGGGCCGUAACUGACGCUGAGGAGCGAAAGCGUGGGGAGCGAACAGG